UUCCUCGCAGAAGGUGCCCCAGGCACGCAGGUUUAAUCCUGAAAGGGUCCAAACCCGCUCAUUUGGAUCAGUGUCGAACUGCUUGGGCUGAGAGUCUGAUAAAUAAGCUUAUGCUGCUGCCCUCUGCCCUACGGGCUUCUCUCAGACUGAUUACCUACACCUAGCAUGAUUGUAGGAGGCCAUCAUGGAUCCACAGAAUGUCUGCUCUGUGUCUCUGAGAGAAGACCAGAUGUCUGAAGCCUGUGGAGAGAGCUCUAACCCACUCAGGAGCCUGGGGUGAUGGUAAAGGAGACAGGAGAUCCCAGUUGUGUCUGAGAAAACCUAUGGGCUUUAGGUUGAAAGACAUGGCAUCAGCUGGUUUUCUCUUGAGCAAGAGAGAGGAUUUCAGCUGAGUCAGAAAUUGGAGGUUGAGGGUCCAGGAGAGCAAUUUCUGGGAGAGGCUCCUCUUCCAGUGGAGUCAAUAUGCAUUUGGCUGAACAAGGUCUAGUAGAGACUCUGAGAACAAUGAGGAGAAGGCCUGCAGGAGUACAGGGAUCAAGAUUGUCACUAGAAAACUUCAGUAUUCCUGUAUUUUUGGAGGUGUCAGUCACCCCUUCUCUGGAUGUAUCCCCCUAACUAGUGUUUCCUACGUGGAUGCCCUUUUUGUUGUAUCUCCUAGUGUAAAAAAAGAGACUUGAAUACAGGACUACAAUCCCCACAAGCCUUUGCUCCACUUCCCCAAAAUGCUUUGUAAUCUCACGGAAAUUCUCAGGUGGGCCUAGAUCGAGAAGGUAUUUAACCUGGUGGCAAAGGUUUUUGGUCUCUUUUUGGAUUUCUGUUUUGGAGCAGACUUGGCUCUUUCCAUAAUGUAGGUGAGGUCUUGUCUAGGACUCUGGCCUAGGCAUGUUUUCCUUACCCUGUAUUUUCUUAAAUCCUUAAUCUUCAAUAAACCUCAUAAAAUAUAAUACUCCUUGCAGAGAGAAACUAAUUUCUACCUGCCUCAGUCUCCCCUAAAUUUUAAUCUUUACAGUUGUCGAGCCAGGUAUGAGACAAAAAAAAACCUCUCAAUCUUCUGAUUUAAUCUUUAUAGCUAGUGCCUAGAAUUUUUUUAAGCCACGUCUGUCCAAAAUGCUUUUUAGAAAACUAUCUUGAUCUGCUCCUGCCUGCAGCCCUCUCCUGCUCCUGCUUCUGCAGCCUCUCACCUGGUGCACAAGCUCCCGGCACUGCUUGUCUUUUUUUUUACCAUAGCAAAGCUGUUGGUCAGCUCCUGCCUGCCUGCCUGCCUGCCUGCCUGCCGCCAUCCGCUUGGGACAGCCACUUCUCCUGGCCCCACCCCGGCUGCCCACUCUGCUCGGCCCUGCUUGUCUGAGGUCUGGCUCUGGCCCCGGCCCAGCGGACUUUCUCUCGCUCACCUGGCCCACCUGAUUCAACCAAAAUUGUAAUCACCUGGUGACCUGCCUGCCCAACAAACCCAGAUCCUUGGUGGGUAACAAAAUGGGGGGUGGUGUAUUGGUUCCACGUGGGCGGCCUGGCCUCCACGUGGACUGGGGCAGGAGGAGGUAUCAGAGCAGGGGAGAGAGAAAAAGGGAGAGGAGAAGAAACAGAUUUUUUCAAACAGAAACUUAAUAGCAAUGGGCUGUUUAAAAGGAUACCUUUUGACUCUUCUGGUAAUUUCAUUGACUUCACCUGCCUGUCAGGGAGCAGACUCAGCCCAAAGAUUCAACUUUAACUUUGAAGGGGCAAAUGGGUGGCUCAUCGAACUGAUAGCCAGGCCUACAAACAUGUGGUCCUGGGUUAAAAUCUGGCCUCAGAUACUGCCCAGCUGUGUGGCCCUGAGCAGAUCGCUCAGACCCCAUUGCUUAGCCCUUACCACUCUGCCUUCUGACAAUAGACAUUUAAAUGGAUAACACACCUAAGGAACUUUGAAGAGACUUAAAGGCUAUAUUCUAAGGCAUUUCAGACUCCAGUGGUUUAUAAAAAUCUCUGACUCUAUUGCAUUUUUCCUGAUUGUUUUGUUUAAGGUUUAACUGUGAUUUUAAGUUCAUAUAUUACUGGAUUGAAUAUUAUUCUGUUACACUGAAGGUUGAUUGAAUUUAUUUUGAAUGUACUGAGUUUUAAAAUUCCGUUGCUUUUCCCCUAUAACUAUUGAACAAAUAUUAUUGUAAUUAAGC
Molecule: non-coding RNA, 2150 nt
Organism: Monodelphis domestica (gray short-tailed opossum)
Lineage: Eukaryota; Metazoa; Chordata; Mammalia; Didelphimorphia; Didelphidae
Source: RefSeq, a predicted model, not a curated record